CCUCGAGCGCUGCCAGCCAAUCCCGUCAGACGCUCCACGCGUCACCCGCGCUGAUUGGCCGGCGUCGGGGUCCGCGGCCUCUCCAAUAUGGCGGCGCCCAGCGGAGUCCGCUCCUGCGAGGACUUUGCCGAGUUCCAGGAAUUGCUCAGGGUGAUGCGGACAAUUGAUGACAGAAUAGUCCAUGAAUUAAACACUACGCUUCCAACAGCUUCCUUUGCAGGGAAAGUCGAUGCCAACCAAACCUGUAAAGAGCUCUACCAGUCUCUGAGGGAGGCUCAUGCCAGCAGAGAGAAAAUAAUCAAAAGCUGUAUUGCUCAGACUUCCAAUGUAGUAAAAACUCUCCGAGAAGAGAGGGAGAAGGCCCAGGAUGAUGUAGCAUUAUUAAAGCAGCUCAGGCAAGAGCAGACAAAGUUGAAGCUGAUGCAGUCUGAGUUGAAUGUGGAAGAAGUAGUAAACGACAGAAGCUGGAAGGUGCGUCAGGGACUUGAAGUUUCUUCCUCUGGGCAUGUACACGGCUGCCUCAGUCUUGGUGCCCAGGCGCCUAUCUCAUGCUGAAGCCCCAGCAGGAUCCUCAAACCAGGUGAAACUAGGCAUUACCCUGCCUGUCUUGCCUGCAUGGCCCAAUCUGGUAUUUAACGAGCGCUGCAGAAUUCACUACAAGCCUCCAAAGAGCCAGUGAUACAAGGGUGCUUCCCCUGAAGUUGUUCUACAAUCAUGAGAGCAAAGCUGAAGAGACAUGGAGCAAGCUGUGAGGGACCUUUUCAGAACAGGAGAACCCAGUCUCAUUUUGUUUUCAGACUCAUCUAAUUAAAAUCUCACAUUCAGCUGAUUCUCCUAAUUAAGAGAAACCAACUCCUAUUUUGUACAAAAUGUGAAAAAACUAAUACAUUUUAUAACUAUUAAAAAAAUUUCAGAUGGAAUGA
This is an RNA transcript of Mauremys reevesii (Reeves's turtle), 923 nucleotides long. It is a transcript of the gene named mitochondrial matrix import factor 23, with no coding region annotated. The record is from RefSeq and is a predicted model, not a curated record. Lineage: Eukaryota; Metazoa; Chordata; Testudines; Geoemydidae. The transcript is spliced from 6 exons.